ACGAACCGUGCGAACGUUAUUCGGAAUCACUGGGCUUAAAGCGCGUGUAGGCGGAUGGGCGCAUCGAUCGCUGAAAUCCCCCGGCUCAACCGGGGAACUGGCGUCGAGAUGGCCCGUCUCGAGGGGGGUAGGGGGACCUGGAACUUCCGGUGGAGCGGUGAAAUGCGUUGAGAUCGGAAGGAACGCCCGUGGCGAAAGCGAGGUCCUGGACCCUUUCUGACGCUGAGACGCGAAAGCCAGGGGAGCAAACGG
RNAcentral lists this ribosomal RNA (252 nucleotides) under uncultured prokaryote. RNAcentral describes it as "partial 16S rRNA". It matches the Rfam family "Bacterial small subunit ribosomal RNA", at positions 525 to 775 of the family's 1533-position model. The record is from RNAcentral.